GACGUAGGGGGCGAGCGUUGUCCGGAUUCAUUGGGCGUAAAGAGCGCGUAGGCGGCUUGGUAAGUCGGGUGUGAAAUCCCGGGGCUCAACCCCGUGACUGCACCCGAUACUGCCCGGCUAGAGGUAGGUAGGGGAGAUCGGAAUUCCUGGUGUAGCGGUGAAAUGCGCAGAUAUCAGGAGGAACACCGGUGGCGAAGGCGGAUCUCUGGGCCUUACCUGACGCUGAGGCGCGAAAGCUAGGGGAGCGAACAGG
This 253-nucleotide ribosomal RNA is filed under the name uncultured bacterium. Its description in RNAcentral is "partial 16S ribosomal RNA". It matches the Rfam family "Bacterial small subunit ribosomal RNA", at positions 524 to 776 of the family's 1533-position model. RNAcentral also lists the same sequence under 1 other name. The record is from RNAcentral.